AGUGAACGCUGGCGGUAGGCCUAACACAUGCAAGUCGAACGGCAGCACAGUAUGAGCUUGCUCUUACGGGUGGCGAGUGGCGGACGGGUGAGGAAUACAUCGGAAUCUACUUUUUCGUGGGGGAUAACGUAGGGAAACUUACGCUAAUACCGCAUACGACCUACGGGUGAAAGCAGGGGAUCUUCGGACCUUGCGCGAUUGAAUUAGCCGAUGUCGGAUUAGCUAGUUGGCGGGGUAAAGGCCCACCAAGGCGACGAUCCGUAGCUGGUCUGAGAGGAUGAUCAGCCACACUGGAACUGAGACACGGUCCAGACUCCUACGGGAGGCAGCAGUGGGGAAUAUUGGACAAUGGGCGAAAGCCUGAUCCAGCCAUACCGCGUGGGUGAAGAAGGCCUUCGGGUUGUAAAGCCCUUUUGUUGGGAAAGAAAAGCAGCAGGUUAAUACCCCGCUGUUCUGACGGUACCAAAAGAAUAAGCACCGGCUAACUUCGUG
RNAcentral lists this ribosomal RNA (492 nucleotides) under uncultured bacterium. Its description in RNAcentral is "partial 16S ribosomal RNA". It matches the Rfam family "Bacterial small subunit ribosomal RNA", at positions 29 to 507 of the family's 1533-position model. The record is from RNAcentral.